RNAcentral lists this ribosomal RNA (3063 nucleotides) under Triticum aestivum (bread wheat). Its description in RNAcentral is "partial small subunit ribosomal RNA". Lineage: Eukaryota; Viridiplantae; Streptophyta; Magnoliopsida; Poales; Poaceae. The record is from RNAcentral.
AUGGCUGCAGAUUAUUCGAAGAACGAUCCCUUUGAGAGGAAUGUGGAACAGGCAAUAACAACCCUGAAGAAAGGAACACACUUGUUGAAAUAUGGGUGGCGGGGAAAACCAAAAUUCUGCCCAUUCAGACUUUCCAAUGAUGAGACCAUGCUCAUCUGGUACUCGGGGCGAAUGGAGAAGAAGCUAAACCUUAUUCAAGUAUCGAAAAUAAUACCUGGACAGCGUACGGCUAUCUUCCUGAGACAUCCAAGACCUGAUAAAGAGCAUCAAUCAUUCUCCCUUAUAUAUGGGCAGAGAUCACUGGAUCUGAUCUGCAAAGAUAAGGACGAGGCAGAAGCCUGGUUCGUUGCUUUAAAGGCAAUUAUUUCACGACGAAACUGUAAGAAGUUGACAACAGAAACAAAAAAUGAUAAACCAUCUUAUUGCCCAAUUAACCAGAUGCAUGGAGAUUUACCAUUGGCAUCUUCUUGUUAUAGUACUGAUGUUGGAAAAAAGGUAUCGAAAGGUGUCCAACAGUGCGCCACAAAUCAUGAUGCUCGUCCAUUUGCCAAUUUUGGGAAUAUUUUUUCUGACGUGAUAUUAUACACCGGGCAGGAGAGGAGUAGAGUUAGUACAGGUUCAGUUAGUUCUUCUAACUCCAGUAUAUCUGGAAGUGCAGAUACCUCAGAUGGGGGAGUAGCUGUCGAUAAUAACCUCAGAGUUAGCUAUUCAAGUGCAGUAAGUUCAUGCAGCUAUGGCUCAGGUGAUGAUUUUGAUGCAAUGGGGGAUGUUCUCCUUUGGGGCAAGGGAGUAGGUGAUGGCACGCUUGCUUAUUCUUCACAUUUAUCUGGAAACUUGUAUGGACCUAGAAUUGAUGCAUCUUUACCAAAGGCACUGGAAUCAACAGUUUUGCUGGAUAUUCACAAAAUAGCUUGUGGGAGUAAGCAUUCGGUUCUGGUUACUAAACAAGGAGAAAUGUAUAGUUGGGGUGAAGAGUCAGGUGGUAGGCUUGGGCAUGGAGUUGAUACCAAUCUUACCCACCCUAAGCUUAUUAGUACCUUGAGUGGAAUUAAUAUUGAAUCUGUUGCAUGCGGGGAAUUUCAUACUUGUGCUGUUUCUUUUUGUGGGGAUCUCUACACCUGGGGUGAUGGAAUGCACAAUUUUGGUCUUCUUGGUCAUGGGAAUGAUACUGCUCAUUGGAUUCCAAAAAAGGUCUGUGGUCCAUUGGAAGGAUUGCAUAUCUCAUCGGUAUCAUGUGGACCUUGGCACACAGCCGUAGUGACUUCAACGGGCCAGUUGUUCACUUUUGGCGAUGGAGUAUUUGGUGCAUUGGGCCAUGGAGAUCGCCAAAGCACAAAUGUUGCAAGGGAAGUGAGCUCUCUAAGAGGCUUACAUACUGUACGUGCAGCUUGUGGUGCUUGGCAUACAGUUGCAAUAGUUGAGGUUGUAGAUUCUCUAAAUUCUGCCACAUCUUGUAAACUAUUCACAUGGGGAGAUGGCAAUAAAGGUCAGCUUGGACAUGCUGACAGGGAAACCAGACUCAUCCCAGCCUGUGUGGAAUCACUUCGUAAGCUUAGUUUUUGCCAAGUAGCUUGUGGCUAUGACUUUACGGCGGCCUUGUCAACUUCUGGGCAAGUGUACACAAUGGGCAGUAAUGCUUUUGGACAACUUGGAAAUCCGACGAUUGAUGGGAAGCACCCCACUGUUGUUAAAGGGAGCAUCUUCAGCAGUUGUGUUGAAGAGAUAGCCUGUGGUUCCCAUCAUGUUGCUCUGCUGACUUCUAAAGCUAGAGUUUAUACUUGGGGCAAGGGUGCGAAUGGUCGUUUAGGGCAUGGCAAUAAUUUUGAUCGGAAUACUCCAACUCUUGUUGAGGCUUUGAAAGAUAAGCAAGUGAAGAGUGUGGCAUGUGGUACAGAUUUCACUGCUGUUAUAUGUUUCCAUAGGUGCACAUCUGGUUUGGAUCAGUCACUAUGCUCUGGCUGUCGUUUGCAAUUUAGUUUUAUAAGAAAGAGGCAUAACUGUUAUAACUGUGGCUUAGUAUAUUGCAAAGCAUGCAGCAUGAGAAAAUCAACAAAAGCUUCUUUGGCUCCAAAUUCGAACAAACCAUAUCGGGUAUGUGAUGAGUGCUGCACCAAACUUAAUACGGCCGGGGAUGCUAAAAAACUGCAGAACUCAAAGCCUCUUGAUGGAAACCCACAUCCUUUAUCCAGUGAAGCAACUGAUAGAGAAAACACAGUUAAGAGUUUGCGAGUGCGUCUAUCUAGGUUUUUGACCAUGGAAUCAUUCAAGCCUGAAGGUAAAUACUCGAGGAAUAACAGCCGGUUUCCUCUUCAUCAUUCAGGAAACUUAAGCCUUGGUAGCAUAGGCCAUUCCAAGGAGUUGGCUUCUUUGUGCAUUCCUACCUCGACGGCAUUACCCCUGUCCCGUGGUCCGAUUUCACCACAUCCUACUAAUAGAUUAACUACAUCUGUCCUAACAUCACCAGACUCUGCCUGUGCGUAUCCGUCAAACAAAAAUAUGACUGAAGAAGUUGCUACAUUACAAUCACAGGUGAAAGAGCUGACAUGUAAGUCUGAAUUACUUGAAGCAGAACUUGACAGAACUAAUAAUCAGUUAAGAGAGGCCAGGACUACUGCUGCUGAGGAGAACUUGAAGUGCAAAGCAGCAAAAGAAGUUAUCAGUUCCCUUACUACUAAGAUCAGAAGUAUAACCGAAAGAACACCCGAAGAGUGUCCUGUCAACGACACCUGGACCAGUCAAGUAUCUAAGUUGUUAGGAAGUCAUUUCUGCGAGAAUCAUUUGAACGAUGUUUCAAGGUCACCUGAUUCCAGCGCCCACCUGGCUCAUCAGUCGCCUUGCAAAGGGAACAGCAUUGUAGCAGACAUGGAAUGGACUGAACAGGUUGAACGUGGUGUAUACAUCACGCUAUUUCGCUCACCAGCAGGUCAUAAAUACCUCAGGCGUGUCCGUUUUAGCAAGAGGCAUUUCACGGAACAACAAGCAGAGCGAUGGUGGGCCGAGCACCGGCCAACUCUACACCAGCAGUAUGGUAUCCUGACUGGAGACAGUAUCAUCCCGUCGUGA